UGGGGAAUAUUGGACAAUGGGGGAAACCCUGAUCCAGCGAUGCCGCGUGUGUGAAGAAGGCCUGCGGGUUGUAAAGCACUUUCAGUUGGGAAGAUAGUUUGUAGGGGAAUAUCCUGCAGAUGAGACGUUACUAACAAAAGAAGCACCGGCUAACUCUGUGCCAGCAGCCGCGGUAAUACAGAGGGUGCGAGCGUUAAUCGGAGUGACUGGGCGUAAAGCGUGCGUAGUCGGUAUUGAGAGUCGCGGGUGAAAUCCCAGGGCUUAACCCUGGAACUGCCUGCGAGACCUCAGUACUAGAGUGUGAGAGGGGAUAGUGGAAUACCCAGUGUAGCGGUGAAAUGCGUAGAGAUUGGGUGGAACACCGGUGGCGAAGGCGGCUAUCUGGCUCACAACUGACGAUCAGGCACGAAAGCGUGGGGAGCAAACAGGAUUAGAUACCCAUGUAGUCCCUGAGCGGGCUGGCAAGGCGCAU
RNAcentral lists this ribosomal RNA (472 nucleotides) under uncultured bacterium. RNAcentral describes it as "bacterial SSU rRNA". It matches the Rfam family "Bacterial small subunit ribosomal RNA", at positions 355 to 825 of the family's 1533-position model. The record is from RNAcentral.